Molecule: long non-coding RNA, 758 nt
Filed under: Struthio camelus australis
Lineage: Eukaryota; Metazoa; Chordata; Aves; Struthioniformes; Struthionidae
Description: lncRNA (ENSSCUG00000018073.1)
Source: RNAcentral
GGUCCCAGUCCACCCCAGUCCAUCCCAGUCCGGUCUCAGUCCACCCCAGUCCAGUCCCUGUCUGCCCCGACCUGUCCCGGUCAGGUCCCAGUCCACCCCAGUCCAGUCCCUGUCCGCUCCGACCCGUCCCGGUGGGUCCCAGUCCACCCCAGUCAGGUCCUAGUCCAUCCCAGUCCAUCCCAGUCCCUCCCAGUCUGGUCCCUGUCUGCCCUGACCCAUCCCAGUCCGGUCUCAGUCCACCCCAGUCCAGUCCCUGUCCGCUCCGACCCGUCCCAGCGGGUCCCAGUCCACCCCAGUCCACCCCAGUCAGGUCCUAGUCCAUCCCAGUCCAUCCCAGUCCCUCCCAGUCUGGUCCCUGUCUGCCCUGACCCAUCCCAGUCAGGUCCUAGUCCACCCCAGUCCAUCCCAGUCAGGUCCCAGUCCACCCCAGUCCAUCCCAGUCCUAUCCCAGUGUAUCCCGAUCCAUCCCAGUCCAGUCCUAGGGUAUCCCAGUGUAUCCCAGUCCAUCUCCAUCCCUUCCAGUCCAUUCCAGUCCGCUCCCAGUACACCCUAGUCCAUCCCAGUCCAGUCCCAAUGUACCCUAGUUCAUCUCUGUCCGUCCCAGCCCGCCCCAGUCCGCUCUCAGUCCUCCCCAGUGCGCCCAGUUACCGAAGCGCUCCCAGUCCGAGUGGCUCAACGCGUCCAUGAGGCGGCAGAAGCUGCACAUGAGCCAGGCGGGCAGCUCGUACAGGAAGGGCCCGAGCCCCGGCCCCGGCCCC